Molecule: ribosomal RNA, 568 nt
Filed under: Colostethus panamansis
Lineage: Eukaryota; Metazoa; Chordata; Amphibia; Anura; Dendrobatidae
Description: partial 16S ribosomal RNA
Rfam family: Bacterial large subunit ribosomal RNA
Source: RNAcentral
CGCCUCUUGCCUCCCAUAAGAGGUCCAGCCUGCCCAGUGACUCUGUUCAACGGCCGCGGUAUCCUAACCGUGCGAAGGUAGCGUAAUCACUUGUUCUUUAAAUGAGGACUAGUAUGAAUGGCCCCACGAAGGCUACGCUGUCUCCUUUUUCUAAUCAAUGAAACUAAUCUCCUCGUGAAGAAGCGAGAAUAAUUUUAUAAGACGAGAAGACCCUAUGGAGCUUUAAAUAACUGAAAAAUUGCAUACUUUUACCUUCUACCUCCCGAGACUUCCUUUUUAUUCAAGCACUUUUAUUCCCAGUUUUAGGUUGGGGUGACCACGGAGCAAAAUUUAACCUCCACGACGAAAAAGACCCUCUUUUAGCUAAAAGCUACUCCUUUAAGCAUCAGCAAACUGACUUCUUUUGACCCAAUAAAUUGAUCAACGAACCAAGUUACCCUAGGGAUAACAGCGCAAUCUACUUUAAGAGCUCAUAUCGACAAGUAGGUUUACGACCUCGAUGUUGGAUCAGGGUAUCCUAGUGGUGCAGCCGCUACUAACGGUUCGUUUGUUCAACGAUUAAAACCCU